This 301-nucleotide ribosomal RNA is filed under the name uncultured bacterium. RNAcentral describes it as "partial 16S ribosomal RNA". It matches the Rfam family "Bacterial small subunit ribosomal RNA", at positions 509 to 809 of the family's 1533-position model. The record is from RNAcentral.
CAGCCGCCGCGGUAAUACGAAGGGUGCAAGCGUUACUCGGAAUUACUGGGCGUAAAGCGUGCGUAGGUGGUGGUUUAAGUCCGUUGUGAAAGCCCUGGGCUCAACCUGGGAAUUGCAGUGGAUACUGGGUCACUAGAGUGUGGUAGAGGAUAGUGGAAUUUCCGGUGUAGCAGUGAAAUGCGUAGAGAUCGGAAGGAACAUCUGUGGCGAAGGCGACUAUCUGGGCCAACACUGACACUGAGGCACGAAAGCGUGGGGAGCAAACAGGAUUAGAUACCCCCGUAGUCCUGUCUCUUAUACA